Molecule: ribosomal RNA, 259 nt
Filed under: uncultured bacterium
Lineage: Bacteria
Description: partial 16S ribosomal RNA
Rfam family: Bacterial small subunit ribosomal RNA
Source: RNAcentral
CAGAAUCAACGCUGGCGGCGUGCCUAACACAUGCAAGUCGAGCGAGAAAGGGGCUUCGGCCCUGAGUAAAGCGGCGCACGGGUGAGUAACACGUGGGUAAUCUGCCCUAGAGUGGGAAUAACAUCGGGAAACCGAUGCUAAUACCGCAUACGAUCACGAGGUCUUCGGAUUUGUGAUGAAAGGAGCAAUCCGCUCUUGGAGGAGCCCGCGGCUGAUUAGCAGUUGGUAAGGUAAUGGCUUACCAAGGCUACGAUCAGUA